This 535-nucleotide ribosomal RNA is filed under the name uncultured Lactobacillus sp. RNAcentral's name for it is "bacterial SSU rRNA". It matches the Rfam family "Bacterial small subunit ribosomal RNA", at positions 505 to 1041 of the family's 1533-position model. Lineage: Bacteria; Bacillati; Bacillota; Bacilli; Lactobacillales; Lactobacillaceae. The record is from RNAcentral.
GUGCCAGCCGCGGCGGGUAAUACGUAGGUGGCAAGCGUUGUCCGGAUUUAUUGGGCGUAAAGGGAACGCAGGCGGUUUUUUAAGUCUGAUGUGAAAGCCUUCGGCUUAACCGAAGUCGUGCAUUGGAAACUGGGAGACUUGAGUGCAGAAGAGGAGAGUGGAACUCCAUGUGUAGCGGUGAAAUGCGUAGAUAUAUGGGAAGAACACCAGUGGCGAAAGCGGCUCUCUGGUCUGUAACUGACGCUGAGGUUCGAAAGCGUGGGUAGCAAACAGGAUUAGAUACCCUGGUAGUCCACGCUGUAAACGAUGAAUGCUAAGUGUUGGAGGGUUUCCGCCCUUCAGUGCCGCAGCAAACGCAUUAAGCAUUCCGCCUGGGGAGUACGACCGCAAGGUUGAAACUCAAAGGAAUUGACGGGGCCGCACAAGCGGUGGAGCAUGUGGUUUAAUUCGAAGCAACGCGAAGAACCUUACCAGGUCUUGACAUCUUCUGAUAACCUAAGAGAUUAGGUGUUCCUCGGGACAGAAUGACAGGUGG